UACGGGGGGGGCAAGCGUUGUUCGGAAUUACUGGGCGUAAAGGGCUCGUAGGCGGCCAACUAAGUCAGACGUGAAAUCCCUCGGCUUAACCGGGGAACUGCGUCCGAUACUGGAUGGCUUGAGGUUGGGAGAGGGAUGCGGAAUUCCAGGUGUAGCGGUGAAAUGCGUAGAUAUCUGGAGGAACACCGGUGGCGAAGGCGGCAACCUGGGCCAAUUCUGACGCUGAGUGAGCGAAAGCCAGGGGAGCAAACGGG
Molecule: ribosomal RNA, 254 nt
Filed under: uncultured bacterium
Lineage: Bacteria
Description: partial 16S ribosomal RNA
Rfam family: Bacterial small subunit ribosomal RNA
Source: RNAcentral